Non-coding RNA from Triticum urartu, 3026 nucleotides. The record is from RefSeq and is a predicted model, not a curated record. Lineage: Eukaryota; Viridiplantae; Streptophyta; Magnoliopsida; Poales; Poaceae.
AAUCGGAAAAGAAUAGAAGAUUUUAAACGCCCUGUAUUAUCUCCCCCCAGCCGCCGCGAAAGCUUCCGCCGGCCGGCCGCCGCCGCAACGCCAUGUUCCAACUCCGAGCGCGUGUCCUCUCUUUCCUUGUCCACUCACCACCCCGUCUCCGCGCCUCCCGCGUCUCUCCCCUCUUUGCCCUCCGCCGCAAGGCCCGCAACCUCUCCGCCACCACAUCCGCCUCACCAAGCCCCUUCGCCGCCGAGGACUACCUCGUCGCCACCUGCGGCGUCCCCCGCGCCCAAGCCGUCAAGGCAGCGAAGAAGAUCUCCCACCUCAAGUCCUCCUCCAAGCCCGACGCGGUCGUCGCCUUCCUCUCCGGCCUCGGCGUCCCCCGCUCCGACAUCGCCGCCAUCGUCGCCGUCGACCCGUGGUUCCUCUGCGCCAGCGUGGAGAGGACCCUGGCGCCCCGCGUCACCGAGCUGAGGGAGCUCGGCCUCUCGCGCUCCGAGGUCGCGCGCCUCGUCCCGCUCGCCCUCUGCUCCUUCCGCAGCAGCUCCCUCAGGGGCAACCUCGACUUCUGGCUCUCGGUCUUCGGCUCCUACGAGAAGCUCCUCAAGGCCCUCAAGAUGAACUCCGGCCUCCUCGCCGCCGACCUCGAGAAGGUGGCCAAGCCGAAUCUGGCCCUCCUCCGGCAAUGCGGGCUAAGUCCCUCCGUCUUCUCGGAGCCCUUCAUUUCCCGGGUGCUCGUCAGGACCCCCAAGAAAGUUCAGGACGCUUUGGUGCACAUUGACAAGUUUGGGGUGUCGCAGAACUCGCGGAUGUUCCUCUACGCGCUUGUGGCCUUCACCGUCCAGAGCCCGGAGAAGCUCACCGACAAGAUCGGAGUCCUCGAGACGCUUGGUUGGUCGCAGGGCGAUGUGCUGCUAGCUGUGAAGACGAUGCCGGGCAUCCUGACCAUAUCCGAGGAGAGGCUGCAGAAAAAUGUGCAUUUCCUCACAAAGGUUGCUGGACUGGAGAUAUCUUACAUUGCUCAAAGGCCGGUGCUGCUCAAGUAUAGCCUUGAGCGCCGCUUGUUUCCCCGGUACUGCUUGCUUAAGCUACUGAACACGAAGGGAUUGCUGGAUCUCCGAUUUGAUUACAAUGCCGCCUCGCUGUCCGAGAAGAAGUUUCUUGGCAGGUUCGUGCAUCCUUACAAGGAGAGUCUUCCAGGCCUUGCUGAUGUUUAUGCUUCUAGCUGUGCUGGGAAACUACAGAUGGAGUUGCUAUCAGAGAACACAAAAGAAAACUAGAGAAUCUACCUUGCCUGUCCUGGGUGAGCACCAUAGGAUUGCCAUGUUGGAUGGAAAAAGUUAAGAUGAAUGUCUUCUCCAGGAAUGGUUUUCUAGAAGCUGGAAACCUGAAGGUUACAAUAUCAACUCUCUUUUUUUACCGGGUUAUCUCUACUCUGAACUUUAGUUUGAUUAUCUGGAGGCCAGGCUAUAAAUUAACAGCAAGUGCGAGCACAUUCAUUACUGAAGCCGUUGAGCCUCCUCAUUUCCAUGCAAUAUGUUGACCCGAAUAGAGAUCGUCUCAACCAGGGUACAUGCGUCAUUGUUGCCUAAACAACAACACAUACAUAAUCACACCACAAGCAACAUAGCUCAGCAUGCAGUAGCGGGCAUAACAACAAGAGGGCAAAACUUUUGCUCUCAGGAUGGGGGUGGAUGCCAUGGAUAUGGUGUCCAUCAGUCUCUGCUUAACGAGGCUAAAGGAACCAAAUUAAUUACUCUGACACAUGGGUUGCCCAAUGCCUCUCAAGUAUGUCCCAUUUGCAUUCAACGUGAUCUCUACUAUGUACAUAUCUGGACGAUCUCCAUUCAUCAUCAGUAGACUAACUGGGAUAUAAAGAGGCUUCGAAUGUACGUAUGUUUAUAUGUUGGGCAUUGCUGCCACAGAGAUGCUUCACUGCAUUGCAUUUAUCGGCUAAUGUGGAUGGAUUCUUCAUUUUCAGCACAUGCAUGCAGUACUUCUAGUUAUAUUGAUUUGCUACCUCCAUCUUUAUUGUAGAACCAUAUUUAUUUAAUUAUUUUCAUGUGCUCACAGGCAUUUGAUAAGGUUGCACACUGACUGUCAUGUGCUGAACCUGGUAAAGAUCAAGAGAACAGGGAUACUACAGUCACCCUCAUCUAGCCGCUUGCAGGGUCUUUUUUUUUGAAAGGAACACCAAAUGCAUUCCAUUAUAUAACAGUACAGGGCAAAUCGCCCUUUACAUAAUCCAGUACAAAGUCUGGGAGUUGGCCCAGCCAAGUCUCACACACAUCAACUCCCAGAUUAGCUCCAUAUGCAGCUAAAACAUGUGCCACCCUAUUACAAUCCCGAGGGCAAGACACAACACUACUAACCGAAAACCCCACAUGCAUUUGGAAUUUUAUGCUCCUGAUAAUAGCUCCUAAAUUCGCUAGAUCAUAAUCUUUAGAGUUCACUGUCCUCAUCAGCUGCGUGGAGUCAGUUUCAAACAAAACCUUGUCACAUCCUAUAUUAAUAGAUAUUUUUACAUGUAUUCUUGUUCGUACCGUCUCAGAAAAUACGUGCAGUAACUUGUUCUGGUUAACUACAACUUCUGCAUUUUAUAUGUCACAUUUUGUGUGUGUAUGCAUAUAUGAAUUUGUAAGGCUUGUGGAGCCACAAAUAUAGUUAUAGUUACACGAAAAGCACAAGCUUGUUUGCUUCCUAGUAAUCAUGUGUGCAGACUCCAAUAAUAAUCAUGUGUUGGCUGCCUAGUUCAAUAUAUUAGUUUGAAACUGAAGAUUAACUUCCAUUGUUUUUUAGCAAGACUUUAUGUUUCAGUUGGAGUUAUUUCUUGUUUCAUCUUUCUCUAUAGUAUCACUUAGGAUGUUGGUUCUACAAUGAAGGACUAUUCAAAGUCUCAAUAGUUCACUGUUGUUGUCAUAUUCUCAGUUCUGUAUUAGUAAGUUUCAGGAUCCCGGUCGGUACCAACAGUUUUUAGUGGAAUCUUGUACAUGGAAGAUGUGAGCACAAGAAUACAUCUAUACGUAUAUUGGAGC